AUGAACGCUAGCGACAGGCCUAACACAUGCAAGUCGAGGGCAGCACGAAGUAAGCUUGCUUACUUUGGUGGCGACCGGCGCACGGGUGCGUAACAGGUGUGCAAUCUGUCCAUAAUCGGGGAAUAGCCCAGCGAAAGUUGGAUUAAUGCUCCAUGUGAGUUUUAGAGGCAUCUCUUUAAUUUGAAACGUAAGGAUUAUGGGUGAGCACGCUUCUGAUUAGGUAGUUGGUGAGGUAACGGCUCACCAAGCCGACGAUCAGUAGGGGUUCUGAGAGGAAGGUCCCCCACAUUGGAACUGAGACACGGUCCAAACUCCUACGGGAGGCAGCAGUGAGGAAUAUUGGUCAAUGGACGCAAGUCUGAACCAGCCAUGCCGCGUGCAGGAUGACGGCUCUAUGAGUUGUAAACUGCUUUUGUAUGAGGGUAAUAUCAGGUACGUGUACCUGCUUGAAAGUAUCAUACGAAUAAGGAUCGGCUAACUCCGUG
Molecule: ribosomal RNA, 485 nt
Filed under: uncultured bacterium
Lineage: Bacteria
Description: bacterial SSU rRNA
Rfam family: Bacterial small subunit ribosomal RNA
Source: RNAcentral